CCUCCCUUGGCCCCUCCCUGCUCCCAUCCCUCCAGCUCCCCCUCUGACCUCCCUACUCCCCUCCUCUAUCUCUGCUCUCAGAUCCAGCAGCUAAGCAAACCAGAGGCUCAAUUACUGCUGGCUACCCCGAGAGGCAGAGGGAUCUGGUUUCUUCCACUUCUCUGGAGGGAGCAGAAGAGAGGGAGGUGGGGUGGGAAGGAAGAGGGAGGCAAUGGGAGAGGGAGGGAGGGAAGCAGAGGAAGAGAGAAGAAACGAGACAAAGAGGGAUUUUAACCAGAGGAACAGAGAGUCAAGCUGAGUCAGGUGCCACCUCAUUCUACACACACACUGGGAGCUACUUGUGGGGGAGUCCCCAAGUUCAAAGGAAGGGAUCAGCCUGCUGGGGGCAGUUUCCCCACCAGACCCAGGACCCUAGAGGAAGAAGAGGACAGCAACAGAUGUGAGGAGGAGAAGGAGCCCUCCCUGCCCGUGCCCAGGAGCCUUUGCUCCCCCACCCACUGAAGGCUGUGCAGCCGGAUGUAGCAGAAGUCAGCAUCCCACCUCCCAGGAAGUGGAAGUUGCUGGGAAACGAAGCUGGAGAAAGUUCAGACCAAACGUUCAGUUUGUGUUUGGUGAGCAACCACUGUGCACUGGACCCGGCAGGAAAUGCAGAGUUGGCAGCCGGCCCUGCCAGCCAGCUCCCAUCUGAGCAGACAGACAGACAGACCCCAGGAAGAGGGUCGAGUGAUGACAGAGGGCUGGGUGGGGUGCCAGCCCAUGCGGUGGCGACGGCUGGCGUUUGUCACCGGGUGGCUCACGGGUGGAGGGUGGUGGGCCCCGGGAACAGGGCACGGGUACACAGAGCUGUUCUUGGGGGGCUGCUUGGAAGGCUUUGCACAUUGGAGGCUUAAUCACUCGGCAUUUGCUGAGCUCACACGGUGGCUCCCUGGCACUCAAGCCACUCACAGGGAUGACUUCUAUGCCCAUCCCCAGAGAGGAAGUUUCCUGCUUCCUAGGGCUCAGCAGAGCGCUCUGACUGGCUCAUUCUCUCCCGGCGGCUGCAGGAUUCCAAGCUUUUGAGUGCCCUUCUCUCCUGACGGAUGUAAAUGUCAUCCUUCUAGCAUAGCGCAGAGCACAGAACCCCUCCGUCUGUGGGAGACCCCGGGGGCUC
Non-coding RNA from Equus caballus (horse), 1150 nucleotides. The record is from RefSeq and is a predicted model, not a curated record. NCBI's taxonomy places the organism in Eukaryota, Metazoa, Chordata, Mammalia, Perissodactyla, Equidae.